Molecule: non-coding RNA, 113 nt
Organism: Acanthosepion pharaonis
Lineage: Eukaryota; Metazoa; Mollusca; Cephalopoda; Sepiida; Sepiidae
Source: the annotation of a GenBank genome assembly
UUACGGUCAUGUCACGUUGAAACAACGGUUCUCGUACAAUCACCGAAGUUAAGCAACGUUAACCCUGAUCAGUACCUAGAUGGGUGACCGCUUGGGCAUACCAGGUUCUGUAA